GAGCGGCGCGGCGCAGCGGCCUCGCAAGUCCCUUGGAAGAGGGCGCCGGAGAGGGUGAGAGCCCCGUGGCGAGGCGCGGUGUGUUGUGCGAUUUGCGUUCGAAGAGUCGGGCUGUUUGAGAUCGCAGCCCAAAGCGGGAGGUAAAUUUCUUCCAAAGCUAAGUAUGGGCGGGAGACCGAUAGUGGAAAAGUAGAGCGAUCGAAAGAUGAAAAGAACUUUGAAAAGAGAGUGAAAAGGACCUGAAAUUGUUGAAAGGGAAGAGAUUCGCGGCAGUGGGAACGGUGCGGCGUGGCGAACAACGCGACGCGGCACGGUCUGCAUGGCUUGCCGGCGCCGGAGACGGUCCGCGGAACAAGGUAGGCAUCUCUGCGGAGUGCUGUUAUAGAUCUGGGGACGGUGCGGGCGCGCGGGGAGCGAGGAGGUUAGGAGAUGCAGGCGAAAUGGCGCGAAU
This 451-nucleotide ribosomal RNA is filed under the name uncultured yeast. Its description in RNAcentral is "partial large subunit ribosomal RNA". It matches the Rfam family "Eukaryotic large subunit ribosomal RNA", at positions 162 to 644 of the family's 3401-position model. Lineage: Eukaryota; Fungi. The record is from RNAcentral.